RNAcentral lists this long non-coding RNA (2588 nucleotides) under Mus musculus (house mouse). RNAcentral describes it as "long non-coding RNA chr13:12105736-12108324". The record is from RNAcentral. Lineage: Eukaryota; Metazoa; Chordata; Mammalia; Rodentia; Muridae.
ACACACACACACACACACACACACACACACACACACACGGUUCCAAUGCGCUCUGCAAGCUGUCGUCACGAAAACCAGCAUGGCACCAUGCCGGGAACCGUGGGGACCACCGGAGCAAGCCUCCAUGGCAUUGGUAUCUGCUCGACUUGGGGGCACCCUGGGGGCAGCCUUCUCAGCCCUGGCCAGUCACUAUAUGAUCGACACCGCCAAGUACUCGGAUUGCGAUGUCUUCACUCCGUGACGGCGCGCAGACUCAGCCCUGAAGCCCCAGGGACGGCGAAAGCCAGAGCCGCCACGCUAAGCGCGCCCCACGGAACACGCAGCCCUGCACCCUAGCCUGAGUCGGUCGAAGAGGUCCCUGGCCAAUUCAGCUCCCGCAGCUGGGUAGCGCCCGCCCGGGUGCCUCCCGCUGGCUCGCCACGCUGUCACCGCACUGAGUCCUCUUGGUUUUCCACAUGCGCGCACAGACACGCGUCCUGCCCUUCCCCGGGCAGACCCGCACACCUGCACACAUGUGGUGAUGCAGACCCCUCCAGCAUCCCUGGGGCGCCUCUGGCGGACCAGAGGCGGCCCCGCAGCCGGUUGUCACUCUACGGGGACCCUGCGGGGGGCUCCCAGGCACCCCUUCCCCUGGGAGAUGCGCGCCGCGACGUGGCACUUACAGUUCUCAGGAACUGGAUCUCAUCCUCGCCUUCGCCCGCAUCAGCCAUGGCUCCGCGCUCCUGGCCCGGCCGGCUCCGGAGCCCGGCGGAGCCCCACGACCGCGGCCACUUAUGCUGCUGCUGCUACUGCUGAAGCUGCUGCUGCGGCUUCUCUGGACGCUCUAGUCACUGCUAACCAGGAUGUUCUAGGGGCUCCAACGGCUGCUACUCGGGUCGCUGCCCCUGCGGCGGCCACAGCCAGGAGCCCGAGGCACCCGGGGGGCCGCGCUGCUGGUGCCGAGAGCCCAGCGGUCGGUCCCCCUGCAGCGCGGCGGAGGCGGGCACGCGGGGGCGGCCGAGGCGCGGGGCCUCCCUGCGCCGCACGGUGCGGGAGGAGGGCAGCCCGGCGUGAGGACGCAGGGAGGAGGCCCCACUGCCCGGCGCGCUCGGCCCCGGCUCCCGCCAGCGAGUGCCCGGAGCCCGCGGAGCCGGGCUAGUGCAGCGGCGGGGGCGGGCUGGGGGCGGGCGGGGAGGAGCUGCCAGCCCCGGCUGCUGCAGGUAAUCCGCAGCCCGCUCCUCCGGCCGCCAGCGCCGGGGCACAGUGCCGCUUACUGGCUGCUUGGGGAAUCAACUGGCGCGUGCCAGAGCGCUCAGCCAUCCCCUGCACCUGUGCCCUUCCUGACCUCAAGUCCAAGGAGCUCAGCUUCCCGCUGAGCCCUGCUACAGUACUUGCCACCCAUUUCUAAGGCCUUUUGGAUUGCACGGGGAACUCUCCUUCUCCCCCGGUGCACAGAAUGGGGAGCCUCUACGUGUGAUCGAUAUUUACACUUCGACUCCCUCCAUACGAGAUAGAGGUGGUUUUCUUAGUUAUUGAGUCAGCAUGCACCAGACUCAUCACAGAUUAAGUUCUCACCACAAGGGGCCUGGUGUGGAUGGUCGAGGAGUUUUAACAAAUUAUUCAGCAACAGGGGUGAGAGAGAAGGCUGAAGAAGAGCACUCACUGAUCUUGUAGAGGAUGCGCCUCGGUUCCUAGCACCCACGCGAGACAGCUCACAACCACCUGUCACUCUGGUUCCAGGAGACCCAGUGCCCUCUGGCCUCCAUGGGCACCUGAAGGUACUUCGUGCACAUACAUUUAUUAGGCACAUAUGCAUAGAUAAAAUAAGUAUAUAUUAAAAAGUACUCAACGACAGCACAACAAUCCCAGCAUUCAACGACAAAGUAGGCAUCUUGCCAUGCAUUGUGAUACAAGACACACAAAUUCAUAAUGCACCUGCGCAAGAAAUUACAAUAAAGUAUGGUGUGCUAAGGACCAGUCCGAUCACUGAAUGCGCUAAACUCACACCGUGGUAUCCGCGAUCUGCCGUGAGAGAGCAAAGUUAAACAUUCCUCCACAAAUGCCGGAUCCAAAUCUCACAAUGCUCCAUGUAAUCAUAAGCCAUCAAAUCUCCAUUUUAAAAACAGCUGCUGUAAGCCAGCUAGCCGGCUCAGCUGGUGAAGGCACUUGCCACCAAUCCUGACUAGAUGAGUUCAAUUCCAGGGACCCACAUGGUGGGAAGAAAGAACUCCAAGUUCUCCUCAGCCUCCACACACAGCCGUCAUACACAUAAAUAAAUAAAUGUUUUUAAAAGUAGUAUGUAACUAUGACUAAGAAAUAAAAUGUCGGAAGCAACUGGGACAAGAAAUCCAACACAUGUUUUCUCAGUUCUAAGUGUUUUCAUUUAUAUCACUGAAAAAAAAUUAUAGAGAAAGCAACGUUCCCACAUGCCCAACCUACUCAUAGUCAGGAGUUAUACAAUAAAUAAUUUUGCGUUAACUUAUCUCUGCUACACAUGUUACAGCAUCUGGUACAUCAUUAAAACUGCCCAGAAAUUUUCAGGUGGGUUACAUUUUGUUUCCACCUUUCCUAUUUUCGUCCUUACAAAGUUAAAGUUUUUGUCUAUUUCC